Long non-coding RNA from Hydra vulgaris (swiftwater hydra), 521 nucleotides. RefSeq lists it as uncharacterized. NCBI's taxonomy places the organism in Eukaryota, Metazoa, Cnidaria, Hydrozoa, Anthoathecata, Hydridae. The record is from RefSeq and is a predicted model, not a curated record.
UUUAUCGGUGGUAAAUAGAAAAAUAAUAUUUCAACUCAAAUAUCACUGUGCAUUUACUUUUUAAAAUACUAAAUAGAAUUUUAAAAAAACCACCUGAAAAGUUUUCUAUUGUUCUCAAAAUAAAAGGCAUAUGAAGCCGCACCUUUUAAUAUUCGUUCAUCAAAAACUUGUAUAAGAGGCACACACAGACGGUGCCCGGAUGCUUUGUUUCUGAGGCAAGUGCGCGACCACUGCGUCACGGCUGCUCGACUCUCAAAGAUAAAAAAAAUGAUAGAAAAGAUUAUCAUCUGAUUAUUCGAUUAUCAUUGUUAUAAUCACAUUAAUAUUAUUCAAGAUUGACCUUUGAGCUUCAUACUACAAAUAUUAGCCAUGUUGAUUGUUUUAAUUGUUCGUUAUUUGAAGUAAUCGCGAGAAAAUAUCUUAAUAAAAGUUUGAUCAAAAUUGUGAGACAAUAUUUUUAGUAAAUAUUUAUUUUAUCUGAUUUUUAUAUAUAAAAAGUGUAUAUAAAACGCUAAUUUAAU